GGGUUGUGAGGUUAAGCGACUAAGCGUACACGGUGGAUGCCCUGGCAGUCAGAGGCGAUGAAGGACGUGCUAAUCUGCGAUAAGCGUCGGUAAGGUGAUAUGAACCGUUAUAACCGGCGAUUUCCGAAUGGGGAAACCCAGUGUGUUUCGACACACUAUCAUUAACUGAAUCCAUAGGUUAAUGAGGCGAACCGGGGGAACUGAAACAUCUAAGUACCCCGAGGAAAAGAAAUCAACCGAGAUUCCCCCAGUAGCGGCGAGCGAACGGGGAGCAGCCCAGAGCCUGAAUCAGUGUGUGUGUUAGUGGAAGCGUCUGGAAAGGCGCGCGAUACAGGGUGACAGCCCCGUACACAAAAAUGCACAUGCUGUGAGCUCGAUGAGUAGGGCGGGACACGUGGUAUCCUGUCUGAAUAUGGGGGGACCAUCCUCCAAGGCUAAAUACUCCUGACUGACCGAUAGUGAACCAGUACCGUGAGGGAAAGGCGAAAAGAACCCCGGCGAGGGGAGUGAAAAAGAACCUGAAACCGUGUACGUACAAGCAGUGGGAGCACGCUUAGGCGUGUGACUGCGUACCUUUUGUAUAAUGGGUCAGCGACUUAUAUUCUGUAGCAAGGUUAACCGAAUAGGGGAGCCGAAGGGAAACCGAGUCUUAACUGGGCGUUAAGUUGCAGGGUAUAGACCCGAAACCCGGUGAUCUAGCCAUGGGCAGGUUGAAGGUUGGGUAACACUAACUGGAGGACCGAACCGACUAAUGUUGAAAAAUUAGCGGAUGACUUGUGGCUGGGGGUGAAAGGCCAAUCAAACCGGGAGAUAGCUGGUUCUCCCCGAAAGCUAUUUAGGUAGCGCCUCGUGAAUUCAUCUCCGGGGGUAGAGCACUGUUUCGGCAAGGGGGUCAUCCCGACUUACCAACCCGAUGCAAACUGCGAAUACCGGAGAAUGUUAUCACGGGAGACACACGGCGGGUGCUAACGUCCGUCGUGAAGAGGGAAACAACCCAGACCGCCAGCUAAGGUCCCAAAGUCAUGGUUAAGUGGGAAACGAUGUGGGAAGGCCCAGACAGCCAGGAUGUUGGCUUAGAAGCAGCCAUCAUUUAAAGAAAGCGUAAUAGCUCACUGGUCGAGUCGGCCUGCGCGGAAGAUGUAACGGGGCUAAACCAUGCACCGAAGCUGCGGCAGCGACACUGUGUGUUGUUGGGUAGGGGAGCGUUCUGUAAGCCUGUGAAGGUGUACUGUGAGGUAUGCUGGAGGUAUCAGAAGUGCGAAUGCUGACAUAAGUAACGAUAAAGCGGGUGAAAAGCCCGCUCGCCGGAAGACCAAGGGUUCCUGUCCAACGUUAAUCGGGGCAGGGUGAGUCGACCCCUAAGGCGAGGCCGAAAGGCGUAGUCGAUGGGAAACAGGUUAAUAUUCCUGUACUUGGUGUUACUGCGAAGGGGGGACGGAGAAGGCUAUGUUGGCCGGGCGACGGUUGUCCCGGUUUAAGCGUGUAGGCUGGUUUUCCAGGCAAAUCCGGAAAAUCAAGGCUGAGGCGUGAUGACGAGGCACUACGGUGCUGAAGCAACAAAUGCCCUGCUUCCAGGAAAAGCCUCUAAGCAUCAGGUAACAUCAAAUCGUACCCCAAACCGACACAGGUGGUCAGGUAGAGAAUACCAAGGCGCUUGAGAGAACUCGGGUGAAGGAACUAGGCAAAAUGGUGCCGUAACUUCGGGAGAAGGCACGCUGAUAUGUAGGUGAAGUCCCUCGCGGAUGGAGCUGAAAUCAGUCGAAGAUACCAGCUGGCUGCAACUGUUUAUUAAAAACACAGCACUGUGCAAACACGAAAGUGGACGUAUACGGUGUGACGCCUGCCCGGUGCCGGAAGGUUAAUUGAUGGGGUUAGCGCAAGCGAAGCUCUUGAUCGAAGCCCCGGUAAACGGCGGCCGUAACUAUAACGGUCCUAAGGUAGCGAAAUUCCUUGUCGGGUAAGUUCCGACCUGCACGAAUGGCGUAAUGAUGGCCAGGCUGUCUCCACCCGAGACUCAGUGAAAUUGAACUCGCUGUGAAGAUGCAGUGUACCCGCGGCAAGACGGAAAGACCCCGUGAACCUUUACUAUAGCUUGACACUGAACAUUGAGCCUUGAUGUGUAGGAUAGGUGGGAGGCUUUGAAGUGUGGACGCCAGUCUGCAUGGAGCCGACCUUGAAAUACCACCCUUUAAUGUUUGAUGUUCUAACGUGGACCCGUGAUCCGGGUUGCGGACAGUGUCUGGUGGGUAGUUUGACUGGGGCGGUCUCCUCCUAAAGAGUAACGGAGGAGCACGAAGGUUGGCUAAUCCUGGUCGGACAUCAGGAGGUUAGUGCAAUGGCAUAAGCCAGCUUGACUGCGAGCGUGACGGCGCGAGCAGGUGCGAAAGCAGGUCAUAGUGAUCCGGUGGUUCUGAAUGGAAGGGCCAUCGCUCAACGGAUAAAAGGUACUCCGGGGAUAACAGGCUGAUACCGCCCAAGAGUUCAUAUCGACGGCGGUGUUUGGCACCUCGAUGUCGGCUCAUCACAUCCUGGGGCUGAAGUAGGUCCCAAGGGUAUGGCUGUUCGCCAUUUAAAGUGGUACGCGAGCUGGGUUUAGAACGUCGUGAGACAGUUCGGUCCCUAUCUGCCGUGGGCGCUGGAGAACUGAGGGGGGCUGCUCCUAGUACGAGAGGACCGGAGUGGACGCAUCACUGGUGUUCGGGUUGUCAUGCCAAUGGCACUGCCCGGUAGCUAAAUGCGGAAGAGAUAAGUGCUGAAAGCAUCUAAGCACGAAACUUGCCCCGAGAUGAGUUCUCCCUGACUCCUUGAGAGUCCUGAAGGAACGUUGAAGACGACGACGUUGAUAGGCCGGGUGUGUAAGCGCAGCGAUGCGUUGAGCUAACCGGUACUAAUGAACCGUGAGGCUUAACCUUACAACGCCGAAG
This 2924-nucleotide ribosomal RNA is filed under the name Escherichia coli. Its description in RNAcentral is "bacterial LSU rRNA". It matches the Rfam family "Bacterial large subunit ribosomal RNA". Lineage: Bacteria; Pseudomonadati; Pseudomonadota; Gammaproteobacteria; Enterobacterales; Enterobacteriaceae. The record is from RNAcentral.